RNAcentral lists this long non-coding RNA (1504 nucleotides) under Phasianus colchicus (ring-necked pheasant). RNAcentral's name for it is "lncRNA (ENSPCLG00000001914.1)". Lineage: Eukaryota; Metazoa; Chordata; Aves; Galliformes; Phasianidae. The record is from RNAcentral.
CCCGGCCCCGGCCCGGCCCGCGCGGCCGCGGCGCGUUCCUGAGCCGUGGCUGCCCCCCAGUGGCGGCGGCGCGGCGCUCCCCUCCCGCGGCCCCGUUCCGCACCUGCCCGCUCCCCGCUGCCGCUCUGCGCCUCGGCGCGGCACCGCGCUCGGGGGCGGCUUCUGCCCCGGCUUUCAUCCGCCUGCGUGGGACGCGGCCCCUCCGCGCGGCUGUGCGGCACCUACCGCCGGGGCCGUCGCAGCGUGUGGGGCCCCGUGCGGGUUGCUGCCCAUGAGGUCACAAACGCCUCUCGGGGACUUCGUUUGCAGAGGAGCCAUAGCCGAACCUAAAAUACUGCAGAUGAGAAUCUAAAGCAGUAACAACCCUGACACCUCCAUUCCCAGCUCCUCCUUUGGGAGUGGCCUUCUCCCUCCGUCUUGACUUAGGGCACGACACAACAUUUGCACUGGGACAGGUCCCUUCUCCUGCCUUCUCCUCAGCUGCAGCUGUGCCCUGGGACGUGCCCAGUCGGGACUCCCAGCACUGUGCCAGCAUCACUGUGGAGCCGGGAGAGCUGCUUUGGCCCAGCUGCUCCCCAGCCUUCUUCACCUGACUGUCACUGCUGCAGGGCACACACGGCAUGUGACUAAACCUCUUAAGAGAAACCUCUGGUGAAGCAUGAACAAUCCGCAUGAUACAGCAUCAAAUGUGAGGGGUGUGGCUUCUGAAAAUGAGUUAAGAUGCGUUAGUGAUGUUGAGGUUUUGGCUUCAUAAAGGAUAGAGAUUAUCUGAAAGCUCUUCCAUUUCUCAACUCGGCUCCCCAGUGGCAUCUGUGCGAAUAUGAUGUGUGGUCAUUCUUGAAAAUACAACUUCAUGCUGUUUUCUCAAGAUGCAUUUGUCUUCUGGUAGUUUGUCUUUAACAUCCAUCAACUGUCUCUGCUCUGCAGUCCGUCUCCUGUUCCACGAAGGAUGGAUUCUCACUCAAGAAGGAGUUACCAGUGGAGGAUCUUUGGAGAACAUCCUUGGAUUGUCCACAGGCCCUUGUCUGCUCUGGUGCUGCAUCACUCCCUUUGCAGCCAUCCUGAAAGAACACUCCAAACUGCAGAAACUAAUAAUAAGCAGCACAUGUUGAAUUGUUUUUAUGUCUAUCCCUGGCACAGCUACAGCCUGGACAUCACAGUACUUUUUCUUCCCACUGUUCUCCAAAAGGAGGAAGAUCAACAACCCCUCAUGUUUUACAGAAGGGGAAAAGCAGUUUCAGUGAAAGGCUGUUUUUUAAGAGGUAUACAGAAGCCCAAAGACCUAUAUAGGUCACACUAAGAUUUUCGAGGAUGCAUAAUCAGGUUAGAGACACAAAUUCCUAAAACUUCAGAGAGACGUAAGCAGUCGGCUCAUGCAGACAUUUUUGAAAAUCCCAAUACCAAAUCUAUGCAACAGUUUCCUGAUGAAUUCUUGCCAUGCCUUGUUUGUCGUUUGUACUGAAAACCAUAAAUUCUAGAAGGAAUAAAAUCACCUCGUUUGGCA